Molecule: transfer RNA, 74 nt
Filed under: Trichonotus filamentosus
Lineage: Eukaryota; Metazoa; Chordata; Actinopteri; Gobiiformes; Trichonotidae
Description: tRNA-Leu
Rfam family: tRNA
About the family: Transfer RNA (tRNA) molecules are approximately 80 nucleotides in length. Their secondary structure includes four short double-helical elements and three loops (D, anti-codon, and T loops).
Source: RNAcentral
GCUUAAGUGGCAGAUGCAGGCUAAUGCAUAAGGCCUAAGCCCUUAAUAAAGAGGUUCAACCCCUCUCUUAAGCU